Molecule: long non-coding RNA, 2277 nt
Organism: Camelina sativa (false flax)
Lineage: Eukaryota; Viridiplantae; Streptophyta; Magnoliopsida; Brassicales; Brassicaceae
Source: RefSeq, a predicted model, not a curated record
UUCUUUUGUUGAACUUCAUCGGGGAUCUAUCUGGUUUUUUAACCUUCUUCCUUAUUUUUUUUAAUCUUCUGUUCAAUCUUUGAUCAAUAUUGGAAACCGUCAGCUCCUUCUCACCUUCUCGAUUUCUCUAUCGUUGAAGACCCAAGCAUAGGUGUUUUUCUUUUUAAUCACCGCAAAUCUUCUGUUCAACCUCAUAUGAAGAUUGGAACCCUUAACUCCUUCUCACCUUCUCGAUUUCUCUAUUCGAUUGCUGCGGGAUCUACUUCGGAAAUACAAUAAUCAGAUGUUUUGAGAUCCCACUAAAUGAGUUCGUUGAUUUCAAUAGCGGAUAUUGUUGUUCGGUAUUUCCUUAUGUUUUAAAAGUACAAUCACCCAAAACCAAAGCAAGCUAAGUUCAAUUUGUAUUUCCUUUAACAUAAAUUAUAAAAUUCUGUAGACGUCCUCAUAUACUAAUAUAUGUUCGUUUCAGGUUUACAACGAUUGUGUAGAAAGAUGGGCUAAAAACAUCAACAAUUACAGUCAACUAACUACGAACGAUGAUGACGUCUUACACGGUUUCCAGACAGGACAGAAACAAAAGGGGAAAGGGUUAGAAACUGAUCAUCAGACAAAGAUUCCAUCCUACUAACAAUAGUUUGAGUGAUGAAAGACAUCUUGAAACGAUGGGUAGUCGGUUUGAAUUGACCACUGGCUAUACUCAAACCGAAGUUCUCGACAGUUCUCUAUUGCCCAGCAACGACCUUGUUUUCAAAACGAUUGAUCAAAUCUUUUUUUACCGAAGCAUGAAUCUUCGUUCCCUGAGUAAAGAGAAGAUAAGAUCUCAGGGAAAAACAUUAGGCAUCGAGAUAAAGGGCUUACUCGGAUAUCUAGAUUGAGGAUGUGAAGAAAGAAUUCUGAGUAAAUGUAAGGGUGAAGGAGCUCUAAGUAUAGUUGUUCAUCUAAUGAGCUCUAAAUAUUUACUAAAAAAAUAAUUAAGAUGGAAAGGAAUCAAAAGGGUUUGUUUGUUGUCACUAUAAAAGAAGGCUCUUAAGACAACGUGACCGCUCCACGUCUCUCUGCCUUUCACUUCACUUCUCUAUUUCUCUCCGCCAGCUAUGGCUCCUUCUUCAUCACCUCUUCGUACUACAAGGCACUGAGAUGAAAACAAUGAAGCGGAUGAGAAGUAUGCGAAUGUGAAAUGGGAAGAGCUUGGAUUUGCUCUGACUCCAACAGGUUACAUGUAUGUAGCCAAAUGCAGAUAAGGUGAGAGCUUUUCACAAGGAAAGAUCCUUCCUUAUGGGGAUAUUUCAAUCAGCCCUUGUUCUGCUAUUCUCAAUUAUGGCCAGGUGUAGCAGUUUUGUUUGCAGACUCAUUGAGUGAAGGAGAAUUAAAAAUAAAAGAUGACAGCAGCGGAUCAGAAUCGAUAUUGGUUGAAGAAGUGAAACUUGUAGAAGCACCAAGAAGAGACUGAGCUUCACCCCUGCCGAUGAUGACGUCACUGUAUUUUUAUCGACAAUGCUUAACUUGGUUUCGACAACCCAGCCAAUAGACUCGAGUCUCAGCUCAGGCGCAAUCUAUGGCGAGAUUGUUUGUUCUGGGAAAAGUCAAUGAAACAGAGCAUCAUCGACACGGCUCUGAGCUCACUCGUCUCUUAUUCUAACUUUUCUGGCGGAUGAGGAUUAGGUGGAGACAAUUUCAUCAUCAGAGAGCUCAUCGUGAAAUGGGGUAACAUCGGCGAGAUCUAUGGAACUCCAACGAGCAAUGGAAACAUCUCGACCUCCUCUUACGCAACUCCGUUAAGCAGCUCUCUACCGCCAAGACAUAUGUUGGUGAUGAAACCGCCGACACCGUUGGCUGAAUUUUUUCAGCCUUUUGGGUUUUGCAGAGAGGGAGAGAGAGAGAGGCCAGGAUCUCUUGUUUCAUUAGUCGAAAUUAGAAUAGACAGAGAAAUGGAAGAGGAAGAACACUGAAAUCAGAACUUUGUGAACAACCAACCAACAAUCCAACAACUGACCUUGCUCCACUUUGGCUUUCGUUUGUUUUUUUUACGGAUGAUCAAUUCUCCUUCUCUUCUCCUUGUUCGAUCUUCAUCUUCAUUUAGCAAUUGAUUAAACACAGUGUUAUGAUUUCCUUUGUCUACCCAUAAGGAAGAGAAAAGCUGAUCUAGGUUGUUCAUUUUUGUUGAGGUGUCAACACCUACUUCAAUACAGAAGCUGAUGUGUACUUGCUUCAAUACAGAAGCUGAUGUGUAGAGGAAAACAAGUAUUGUGUUUUUAUUGUAUUGAUGAUGAGGGCUUA